Molecule: long non-coding RNA, 1226 nt
Organism: Dendroctonus ponderosae (mountain pine beetle)
Lineage: Eukaryota; Metazoa; Arthropoda; Insecta; Coleoptera; Curculionidae
Exons: 3
Source: RefSeq, a predicted model, not a curated record
CCAUAUUCUUGUUGGACAUUUUGUUGUUUAUUUCGGCUUUGAGCCGGUGCCAUUUAGGUCAUGAGCCUUGCUUUAGAGUAUCGCAGGAAUAGAGCGUCGCGACGCUUCUUGCAACCACUAGUUAAGCAGAAACGACGCUUGCAGACUCCCACACAAAUCAGUCGACGUCCUGCCUCUGCCCAAUUCCCGUAGCGCCCAUUUGUUCAACCGAUUCACGUAAAAGUUGCCGAGUGAGUUAAAUCAGAAGUUACCGUUUUCUAUGAACUGAUUCCAGGCUUCCAGACAGUUGGGCCGAUAGCUACUGGAAGUUUUUAAGGAAAAUGCCCAAGAAAUCUGCAAGAAGUUUGUAAUGCGGUUGCUGACUUGGAACUACCUGAUUAUGUUCGAUAUUGCUUUCGUGUUUUUUCUGUUCCUGGUCGGAGUCACCUGUCUGGUCUACUAUUUGCCAGGUAGGAGAGUGGAAAAUGAUUCCUCGUACUUGGACAGUGGCCCCUUGCAGUGCUACGUCACUGUCCCAUCGGCUGAUAUACAAAAUGCCCCAGUUAAUCAAGUCUGAUGGCUUGGGCAUAUAAUGGAAACGCGCUGCUGCAUGAUGAGCAUUAAAGAAGAAACUAUCUAACAUGGCAUGAAAAACUACGUUUGCUUUCUAGUUCUAAUGGAAAUAUUCAUAUCAAAAACCAUUUCAAAUGCUGUUGCAAACGAACGUCUGUUCGAUUAUAAAGCAGCAAAUGAUCAAAAAUAAGUGUGUUCCCAAAUACCCAAUGUGCUUCCAAAGUUAUAUGAAAUAUCCAAGUAAGGUCAAUAAUAAAAUGUUUCGGAAAAUAUUUUUAAAUAACCAUUUUUUACUUUUGAGCAAUUUUAAUGUUGCUUGUUUCUAAUGCGCUCUCUAAAGUUGACGUAUCUAUAAUUUUUUUAUUUGUUGUCGCAAUCAGUAAGCACUUUUCUUGUUUAUUGCAUUUUAGUAUUUUUCACUUUAAUGAGGGUUAAAAACCAUUUAUUCUGAUUUUUUGUGUUCAUCAAUAUUUGGAAGGUAAACUUCUCUAAUUUGCUGGAAAGAAAACAUAUGUAAUAAUACAAUAACUAGCUGGUAAUGUACUUAAUAUAAUAGAAGAUAGAUUUUAGUAUAUUAUAAUAUAACUUUUAUAUAUACAUGUAUACCUAUGCUAGACGGCUAUAAAAUUGUUUGGCAUUGUAGCAGAACGAAUGGAAUAAAGUGAUUAUAGUUA